GAUUAACGCUAGCGGCAGGCCUAAUACAUGCAAGUCGAACGGGAUUCAAAGUAGCAAUAUUUUGAUGAGAGUGGCGCACGGGUGAGUAACACGUAUGCAAUUUACCUUUAACUGGGGGAUAGCCCUCCGAAAGGAGGAUUAAUACCGCAUAAUAUAUUGAAAUGGCAUCAUUUUAAUAUUAAACCUACGGGGGUUAAAGAUGAGCAUGCAUCCGAUUAGCUAGUUGGUGUGGUAACGGCUCACCAAGGCAACGAUCGGUAGGGGGUCUGAGAGGAUGAUCCCCCACACUGGUACUGAGACACGGACCAGACUCCUACGGGAGGCAGCAGUAAGGAAUAUUGGACAAUGGAGGCAACUCUGAUCCAGCCAUGCCGCGUGAAGGAUUAAGGCCCUAUGGGUUGUAAACUUCCUUUAGACGGGACAAAACCCCUUUACGUGUAAAGGGUUGAUGGUACUGUCAGAAUAAGCAUCGGCUAACUUCGUGCCAGCAGCCGCGGUAAAUCUCG
RNAcentral lists this ribosomal RNA (506 nucleotides) under uncultured bacterium. Its description in RNAcentral is "bacterial SSU rRNA". It matches the Rfam family "Bacterial small subunit ribosomal RNA", at positions 28 to 527 of the family's 1533-position model. The record is from RNAcentral.